RNAcentral lists this ribosomal RNA (468 nucleotides) under uncultured bacterium. Its description in RNAcentral is "partial 16S ribosomal RNA". It matches the Rfam family "Bacterial small subunit ribosomal RNA", at positions 28 to 507 of the family's 1533-position model. The record is from RNAcentral.
GACGAACGCUGGCGGCGUGCUUAACACAUGCAAGUCGAACGGAAAGGCCCUGCUUUUGUGGGGUGCUCGAGUGGCGAAAGGGUGAGUAACACGUGUGUAACCUGCCCUUGACUUUGGGAUCACUUCAGGAAACUGGGGCUAAUACCGGAAAGGAGCUCCUGCUGCAUGGUGGGGGUUGGAAAGUUUCGGCGGUUGGGGAUGGACUCGCGGCUUAUCAGCUUGUUGGUGGGGUAGUGGCUUACCAAGGCUUUGACGGGUAGCCGGCCUGAGAGGGUGACCGGCCACAUUGGGACUGAGAUACGGCCCAGACUCCGACGGGAGGCAGCAGUGGGGAAUAGUGCACAAUGGGCGGAAGCCUGAUGCAGCAACGCCGCGUGCGGGAUGACGGCCUUCGGUUUGUAAACCGCUUUCGCCUGUGACGAAGCGUGAGUGACGGUAAUGGGUAAAGAAGCACCGGCUAACUACGUG